RNAcentral lists this small RNA (3652 nucleotides) under Arabidopsis thaliana (thale cress). RNAcentral describes it as "ATSL275850". Lineage: Eukaryota; Viridiplantae; Streptophyta; Magnoliopsida; Brassicales; Brassicaceae. The record is from RNAcentral.
AUAACAUAUAAAUUUUGUACAACCAAGUAUCCAAACAUUUUAACAAUGGGCCCUUGAGCAUAGACGCUCAAAUCCAAUCGAGAACCAAAACCAUUAAGUUUUGCAAAAAGCAACAAAACUCUAUAUCGGCUUUCUUACGUCCUGAGCAUCCCUCUAAUGGUUCACACUAAGUUUUCCUGCAAAACAAAAUGGAACCAUAAGUAAUCUAAGAUUACUUAGUAAGCUCGGUCUACCUGCAACCGAUAUUAGUUCCCCAUCCCACGCAAAACAGAAUAGCAACAAAAGGUAGCUUGCCCAAGCAUCUACCAAAUGCACAUGCAAUUAAGACUCCACUUUUAUUAAGUAUUUAUUUUUAAAAAGGGCCCGGUAUGCUGCCUUCACCCCACACCAAACACACACUCCCUGGAUCUCUCGCUUUACAACCACAAAGGCAUGUAACCAGAGCAUCUCUACCAAAUGCUACACCGUCGUGUAGACAACUCGGCCAAGGUAGCUAGAUCCGUCUCUCUCAGCCCUUCGCACUAACUGGCGAUCAAGCAACAAUUUAACAAGACCCCACAAUAGCACGGUUCACUACGUAGGUCAGACAUACCACGAUCUUGAUACGCUUAUAGUCUCUGCCUCCUACCACGAGCACCACGCAUCAAAACCCAACAUUUUAAGAUAUUAUGAAACAUAUGGUUAAUCAAACACAUAGAAUCAUCAAAAUCUCAACACAACCUCACAACCAUAAACUUUACCUUAAAAAUCUAAAAGAUCAAUUAUGCGACUUAGUACCAUCAUUCACACCAUUAAUCAAUACUCAUAUAAUUCAUGAAAUCAUGUAAUGAAUGCAAGAGUACAUGAUCAUGCAACCAAACAAGCAAUCAAUCACCCAAAUAAACACCCAAACCUAUCAUGUGCCAUAUCACACGCUUCGAUACUCAUAGAGAUUCGGUUGAAGGUUUAAGGUUAGCUUCAACGAUUCUCGGUUGCAGAGAGGGAUUUCUCAUCGACAAACAGGUUCUCUUGAUCACGGACAUGAAUUCUUUAGUUAGGGGCAAAGGAUCUUGAUUACGGGAAGAGUUUCUCAAUUGCGGACAAGUUUUCUCUCGGUUACGUGCGAUCCCUUGAUAAUUUGGCUGCCUUUCGGUUCUCUCUCCUUUCUCCCUCCGAAAAUUCUCAAGGCCGAAUGAAGCUUAUAUAGGGGUGGCAGGGGUGAAUCAGCUAGUACACGUGCCGUUUGCACGUGAAGUCACUCAUGUGGCAGCGUCGGGACGAUGACACGCGGAUAGCAAGACUUCGGCUCCAAGGGACUUAACUUCGGCUCCAAUCCUUUAAAAUUCGUCUCCAAGCAACUUUGCUUGGGCUCCAAGUUAGCCAGUGCACUCGUCUAUGGCACGGUCAAACGGCGGUUAACACCUGACGGGGCACACUUUGCCCACAGCACGCCUGAGGCCCAAUCUUGCCCAUUCUUGCCCAUCUUUGCCCAUUCUUGCGUAAAUAGUUAUUUCAUUUGCCCUUUGAUGGUUUAUCACCUUUUGGGCACAUAUGGGCAAUCAGCCAUGUAUUCGUGGCAACUUCCUCCCGUUUUGGCUUCGCCCCGGAUGACCCCAUUUCGAACUAGACUCGGCAGGUUCAUUUUGCCUUGCCCAUCUCUUUGGAUUUCAUCCCUUAACUAUUUCUUUCUCUUCCAGUUCUUCCUCGAUCUUUCCUUGAUGUUUCGUGCUUGGCCACUUACCCCUUAGCGAGGGUCACUACAUUGCCCGUAUCAUGGUUUUAGUGAGGUACAAAUUCUAGGUACCUUCUUUAGAGGAGUUGAUCAAAGAUACCAGAUGGCUCUUGAUUCAGAGAGGAAUGUUAACUUCAAUACCAGGUAUCCGGCAGAUGCUACAUCUUUGAGCCUGAGCCUGAGUCAGAAGAAGGUGUCUUCUACAUUGAUGGUCAAGGUUACAAGAACUUUGGACAGCCAGAAGGCAACUUUAGUGGCAACAGGUUUACUGGGAACAAGAGUUCUUCAGGUUUCAGCCCCAAACCUACCUUCCAGAAGACCUAUCCUCAGAGCAACUUCACAAGGUCUUAUGGUAAUUCUUCUUACCAAACCCCUCCUCCACCGUCUGCCCAUAGUAAGAUGGAAUCCAUGCUUGAGUAGAUUCUUGAGGGUCAGGCCAAGUUAGUUGUGGACUUCAAUAGAAAGUUUGACGCUAUCUACACAGAUCUUCAUGGGAAGAUCGACAAUUUGAGCUCUCACAUGAAGAAGCUAGAUGUUCAAUUGGCUUAAACUGAUUAGUCUAUCAAGAGACAAGAGGGUUUUCUUUCUGGCACCCCUAAUACUAAUCCAACGAAGAGCUGCAAUGUUAUCUUAGUCAGAGAUGGAGACAAUGUAUAGGAGGAAUUGGAUACAGAGGACGAGUUGGAGCUCACAGCUCUAGAGCUGGUGUCGAUCGACACCAUAUGGUAAACUCUUUUCCAAAACUACUUCUGAAUAGAGUGUCGAUGGACACACUCCUAACGUCGAUCGACAAUGGGUACGCAUUGCACCUUACGAGGGUCAUAUCCCUAUGCAACCCAACCUUGUUUACACUCUUACGGUUCCAUAUCCGAGAAACCGUCGUUCUAAGCAGGAAGUACACGAUACGAAGUGCAAGGCAAUAAAGGAGAAGAACUUGACCACCAUUCCUAAGGAUACCUCAGAGAACUCAUUUGCUCAACUUAUUAGAUAUGUCAAGCAUUUGGUCAACAUUGGAAUCAACUCCAAGGAAGCCAACCUGCUUAAAGAGAUAUCAGUUCCAUACUGUUGAAGAAGGUCAAGAAAGACUAGUCGAAGAGAUUAGUGCUUUCUGAACAUGUUAGCUCCAUUGCCAAAGGGUAAAUGAUAACACUGUAUUUUACUCAUUUUAGGUGUAUGUUUAUCAUCAUUUACUUUUGCAUUUGCUCAUUGUAUCAUAUCAUUUUGCACCAUUUUAGCUUGUUUUGCAUACUUAGGCAUCUAGGAUCAUCUUGCAUAUGCAUUGCAUGUUUUGGUAUGUUUUCAGGUGCAGAAGGAGAUAAAAAGGACUCUACUCGAUCCAUCCACUCGAUCCAGGCAGCUACAGAAGAGGCAUCAUUCUACUCGACCUCUUUACUCAAUCCAGGAUGCUACAAAGGAGGCUGCAGUUAACUCGACCCUCUUACUCGAUCAAGGCAACCUCAGAUGAAGAAGCAGAUUGAUCUACUCGCCCCUCCUACUCGAUCCAUUUACUCGACCAAGGGUGACCAUCUCUACAAGACUUGUUGAGCUAUCAAAGCGUCUUCGGAUCCUCCUCAUUCCCCACUCAACCAGACAUCUGAGCAUACAUAUAGGAGAGGAGAAGCAUCUACUCGACCAAUUGAUCACUCGGAGCAUAGACACAAAGGCGCAGACUUUGCAGCACCCUCUUUACUUUAUCCCCAAGAUCGAGUAUUCGCCCAAACCGCCUCAAGUCUCUUGUCUUCUAGUGAAUCUAGGGUUUCAACAUUUUACUAUAAAUAGAUCACUUUGGGGGUUGUCCAAAGGAUCUAUGCUUUAUCUUUCAGUUUUUCUUUGUGUUUAUGAAUCUUAAAACCUUAAUUACUCUUAAUCUGUUUCGUUUUUGCAUUUAGUUGUUUUAGUAAAGUUGUUUAGCUUGUUUAGAUCUAUAUUUUGGUAUAAUUU